GAGAGUUGGUUAAAUCUUUGUCUUGCCUGAGUAACUUGCAUAUGUAUAUUUUCUAAACUUUUGGACAUGAAUUUCAAGUAGCAAAUUCUAUUCAUCUUAAUGGAUUCUUUUCUUGGAAGAUGUCAGUGGUUCUUCAGAACAUUCCACACGAACUCUGUGUCCAAAUCAUUAACAGCAGUUUUUACUAUGGGCACAUAAGACAGAAAUAAAUCUGUUUUAAUUACCUGUUUGGAUUCUGAUACCACGGCUGUUUGCCAAACCUUACUGAUACUUCUUGUAUUACCUCUUUGAACAUAUCUGGUGUAGAAACUGGUGUAUCUCUUUUGCAAUCUCUAUAGGAUACUAUGCACGAAUCUACAGUAAUGAUAGGUACUGCGUCAUUUUUGUGGAGUCUGUCUGGUGAAGAAAGUGUCCUUGGAGCCGGUUUUAUUUUCUUUGUCACUAGAUGUCACUGCAUACACAAGUGUGCUACUGUCGCCCAGGGUAAUCUGAGCCCUGAUUGCUGGGAAAGAGGCAAAAUAGAUUCUGGAAGCCUUCACUGUGAUCCUACUUGGAAGGUAUCUGCACUUUGGAUCUCUUUGAGGCUUUCUCACAAUCUCAUUUAAUUAGGCUAAUCCUCCCUAAUACUUUGUCAUUUUACAGAUUGUGUGAAAUCUAAUUUAAAUAUGUGCAAAUCUUUUGCUAUUCAACGGGACCUUUGCAUGGUGAAGCCAAAUGUGGACCAGACAUGAGCAGAUAUUACUGGAUCUUGGACAAGUGGGUCUCUAAGGAACAUCAAAGACCCUGAGAAGCCAAAAGUUAUGAAAUGCAUCAGCAGUGGGUUGAAGACAAGACCUCUCCUUUUCCUGCUGACAUUUCUUCCAUGAGCAGUACCCAGACAGCCGACAGAAAGAGCCCAGGAGAAACUUUGAAUUCCACCAAAGGGUGUGCCGAAGGCUUAGAUGUUGAGAAGCGUGAAUUCAUCCUGCACAACAAAUAUCAUAGAGAUGGGACUGGAGCGGGGGACAAGAAGGGGGAGAAUGAACAAGAUGCAUGUUGCAAAACCCCAAGGGGUGCUAUUUGUAUGGUAGCCUGAGUGAACAGCAAUUUCCCUGAGGGGUGGUUGCAGCAGAUACUGUGGGUACCAUCUCUACAUCUCUUACUCCUUACUCGUUCCUGCCUUACUCCUUCAGGGCAGAGCAGCCCAACUUACUCUUUGCCUAAGGACAGUCUCUGGUAUCUAAGUCUAGGUUAGCCACUCAUGGCAGGCCAGAUGAAUGAUUGCUAGGAGUCUUGCAUAUACACCCGGUUUCCUUGCCACUUGGAUAGGAUAAAGGUGCUUCACCCCAUUUUCCAGCAGUCUCCAGCAAGUCUAGGUUCCACUUGCUCACAGCAGUAGCUGAUUUUGUGAAACAUCCUUUCUGGGCUGCCUUCCUUUCUCUCUCUCCCUUUCCCUCUCCCAUCUCUGAUUUUCUUCUACUUCCCCCAAUAUAUUAAUAUUAUCUCAGGGAUGGCUUUUGGGAACCCCAAUCAAAGAAAGGAGCAAACUCAAUUAAGACCCUCUGUUUUAGGUAACUUUGGGAACCUGGUGGAGCAUCCUGACAUUACAUCCUGAACCAGAGUAUGUCUCAAGAUAUUUUUGGAUCCUGCUUUUGUGGAGACAGAAUCCACAACACAGCAGAGAGUUCCUCACUCCAAGAGGUACAUUCUUCUUACUGUCUGGUUCACUCCCUAGACACAUGCCAGCUUGACCAUCAUACAGAGCAGCCCCCAGGAUGAAGGCAAACUUCUAUCUGGAGUCUGAUCUUUCCAAGAUAGGGCUGAAUCAACUUAGCUCUUUUUUCUUGUGGCUCAUUGCUGCUUUCCAGAUUGAGAAUAGCCUCAGAUUUCUUUCUGGCUUCCAUAUACCAUGCAUCCUAUUGCUUUGCUUAUACUCUUACCCCCCAAUGUCAAAAUAGUCCUGAAGUGUAUACCAGAUCAUGUCACACAUAUGCAGAACUGAUCAUGUCAGUUCAACCUUGGCUCCAAGAAUAAAGCUGUAAGUCCUAUAACCACAAGGCCUUAGGGUGACUUGAUUCCUGAAGGCUACUCCAAUAUCAUUUCUUCUCAUUUUCCUCAUCACACCUUGCCUUUCUUUGAACGUGGUGACAUAUUCCUGCUGCAGAAUUUUGCAUUGGCUGUUUCCUCUAUCUGGUGCACUCUUUUUAUUGAAGGUGCACUCUUACCUAACCUAACUCAUGCUUUUGUGCAAAUGUCACCAUCUCAGACAGGCCUUUGCUAACCAUCCCAGCACCCCUUUAAUUUAUUAUUGCUUACUUUAAUUGUUUCUCUUUAUAGCUGUCAGCACCAACUGACAUUAUAUGUACUCGUUUGGCUGGUUUUUGUUAGUCUUUCCAUGACAAUGUAAGCGCCACUGGCUCAUCACUAACAUCAUGUGCCUGGCACACAGAAAGUACUCAAUUAAUAUUUAUAUGGUUGCUGAAUUAAUAUAUGGUGUUACCUUUAAAGAGAAGCGAAGUAAUCUGUAAAUGCUUUUACUAAAAUAAUCAUUUACCUGCAGACUAGGUAUUUUAAAAUAUAGUCUAUUUCCUGUUAUAGAUUGAUUUAUUUUUAAAGUAUUGUCUCCUUACUCUUUAAAGAUACAUUUUCCCUGUUUUCCAAAUUAGUUAUUUUUUCUUUUUGAUUAUUCAUUCCCAAGUUAGGAGAAUGUCUAAAACUUGAGAUGUACUGACUGACAAAUUAACUAACAAAGAACAGAAAUAUAUACCUCAAAUUGCACUGCUAUCAUCUAUGAUCAUUUAUUUAUUCAGCAGAUAUUAAUUGAGCGUUUACUAUAUCUCAGACACCGCUGUACAUAUUCAGAGAAUACAACAGCCAAAGAUUUCUCACCUCAAAGAACUUAUACAGAAAAGACACGCAAUAAAAUGUAAACAUGAUAAAUGAAUUAUUUUAUUUUAUUUUAUUUUAUUUUUGAGACAGAGUUUUGCACUUGUUGCCCAGGCUGGAGUGCAAUGGCGUGAUCUCGGCUCACCGCAACCUCUGCCUCCCGGGUUCAAGCGAUUCUCCUGCCUCAGCCUCCCAAGUAGCUGGGAUCAUAGGCAUGCGCCACUAUGCCCAGUUAAUUUUUUGUAUUUUUAGUAGAGAUGGGGUUUCACCAUGUUGGCCAGGUUGGUCUGAAACACCCGACCUCAGGUCAUCAGCCCACCUCGGCCUCCCAAAGUGCUGGGAUUACAGGCGGGAGCCACUGCACCUGACUGAUAAAUGAAUUAUUUAAUGUGUUUGAAGGAUACACUAGGGUGGUCAGGGGAGGCUUCACUAAGUUGACUUCUGGGCAGAGCUUGAAUUAGUGAGUGUGAAUGUGAAGCCAUGUGCAUACAUGUGGGAGGAGCACUCUAGACAAAGAGCAAGGCCAAGGCAGAGGUUCUGAGGUGGGAGCAUGCCAAGCUUGUUAUAGAGGGCAAGCUGCAGGCUGCUGAGCAAGGAGGAAGAGGGGUAGGAGAUGAAACCAAAGAAGAAUCAGGAAAGCAGGCCAUGUAGGCCCCUGGAAGCAUUAAAAGGACCUUGAUUUUCACAUAUGCCAAUAAUUGUUAAAAGGCAAUAAUAAUAGCUGUUGCCACCACAUUCGACUACAUAGUAUUCCCUGCUUGUUCCAUAUAAAGUUACUCCAUGUAAAUACAGACCCUGUGAUCACUCUUGUUGAUAAUGAUUUUAUUGUAUUAUUGUUUCUCUAUAAGGUGACUGCUGUUACAUUUUUCUUAAUUACACAGCAGUGAAACACUUCAUUGAUAAUAAAUACAAAGGAGAAAAAAUAAUUUAUAAAAUAAAAAUAGAGGUUUAAUAAAU
RNAcentral lists this long non-coding RNA (3822 nucleotides) under Homo sapiens (human). Its description in RNAcentral is "HSALNT0264401". Lineage: Eukaryota; Metazoa; Chordata; Mammalia; Primates; Hominidae. The record is from RNAcentral.